AGAACGAACGCUGGCGGCAUGCCUAAUACAUGCAAGUCGAACGAACACUUCGGUGUUAGUGGCGCACGGGUGCGUAACGCGUGGGAAUCUGCCCUUGGGUUCGGAAUAACAGUUGGAAACGACUGCUAAUACCGGAUGAUAUCGAAAGAUACAAAGUAUUUAUCGCCCAGGGAUGAGCCCGCGUAGGAUUAGCUAGUUGGUGAGGUAAAGGCUCACGAAGGCGACGACUCCUUAGCUGGUCUAGAGAGGUAUGAUCACGCCAC
Molecule: ribosomal RNA, 263 nt
Filed under: uncultured soil bacterium
Lineage: Bacteria
Description: partial 16S ribosomal RNA
Rfam family: Bacterial small subunit ribosomal RNA
Source: RNAcentral